GGUGGCGGAAUGAUUGCUGAUGUGAUCCUCUGGAGGAAGAAGAAUGUAACCGUGGGAAUUCUCAUUGGUGUACUUGCGUCUUGGAUCAUCUUUGAGGUAGCUGGAUAUACCCUUCUGUCGCUUGUCUCAAAUGUUCUGCUUCUCUUAAUCUCCAUCCUUUUUGUGUGGGCAAAGGCUGCCGAAGUUCUCAACAGAUACACAGUGGUAGGUG
Long non-coding RNA from Zingiber officinale, 211 nucleotides. RefSeq lists it as uncharacterized. Lineage: Eukaryota; Viridiplantae; Streptophyta; Magnoliopsida; Zingiberales; Zingiberaceae. The record is from RefSeq and is a predicted model, not a curated record. The transcript has 3 exons.